RNAcentral lists this ribosomal RNA (558 nucleotides) under uncultured bacterium. Its description in RNAcentral is "bacterial SSU rRNA". It matches the Rfam family "Bacterial small subunit ribosomal RNA", at positions 358 to 916 of the family's 1533-position model. The record is from RNAcentral.
GGAAUAUUGGUCAAUGGGCGCAAGCCUGAACCAGCCAUGCCGCGUGCAGGAAGAAUGCCCUAUGGGUUGUAAACUGCUUUUAUUUGGGAAUAAACCUCUUUACGUGUAGAGAGCUGAAGGUACCAAAUGAAUAAGCACCGGCUAACUCCGUGCCAGCAGCCGCGGUAAUACGGAGGGUGCAAGCGUUAUCCGGAAUCAUUGGGUUUAAAGGGUCCGCAGGCGGAUUUAUAAGUCAGUGGUGAAAUCCUAUCGCUUAACGAUAGAACUGCCAUUGAUACUGUAAGUCUUGAAUUCGGUCGGAGUGGGCGGAAUGUGUAGUGUAGCGGUGAAAUGCAUAGAUAUUACACAGAACACCGAUAGCGAAGGCAGCUCACUAGGCCUGAAUUGACGCUCAGGGACGAAAGCGUGGGGAUCAAACAGGAUUAGAUACCCUGGUAGUCCACGCUGUAAACGAUGAUUACUCGUUUUCGGCGAUAUACAGUCGGAGACUAAGCGAAAGUGAUAAGUAAUCCACCUGGGGAGUACGAUCGCAAGGUUGAAACUCAAAUGAAUUGACGG